GGUUCUGAGCGGCUAUUACGACCUGCCGAGGGAUAAGCGCCUCGUGAACCGUAGUUCCGGAGCCGGGCACCUGCUGACGGGCAUGGCAACGUUGCCGCCUCGCAGGCACAUAAAGACGGACCACUACGUAGCCAUUGUCUUCUGGGGAUCGUGGCUCGUCUUGGACGUCUUCGCAAUAUUCCGUCUGCAGAUCUACCGGACCAAGAACAAAAGAUGAUGCCACCAUCGCUGGGAGGGUGAUGGGACAAUUGUCAGCAUCGACCCAACUGGUGCCGCUCGGUCCCACAACCAUGGCCCAUCGCGGUCGGUGUUUGUCGCCGCAUGAAAGCUCU
Dermacentor silvarum is the source of this 332-nucleotide long non-coding RNA. RefSeq lists it as uncharacterized. NCBI's taxonomy places the organism in Eukaryota, Metazoa, Arthropoda, Arachnida, Ixodida, Ixodidae. The transcript is spliced from 4 exons. The record is from RefSeq and is a predicted model, not a curated record.